Non-coding RNA from Xenopus laevis (African clawed frog), 75 nucleotides. The record is from Rfam. NCBI's taxonomy places the organism in Eukaryota, Metazoa, Chordata, Amphibia, Anura, Pipidae.
AUCGCUUCUCGGCCUUUUGGCUAAGAUCAAGUGUAGUACCUUCUUAUGAUCCUAUGUGAGGAAGAAGAAACACUU